Hypanus sabinus (Atlantic stingray) is the source of this 126-nucleotide small nuclear RNA. The record is from RefSeq and is a predicted model, not a curated record. NCBI's taxonomy places the organism in Eukaryota, Metazoa, Chordata, Chondrichthyes, Myliobatiformes, Dasyatidae.
GAUCAGUCAGAAAGAAGAGAAUGCUAGCAUUCACGUUGAUGAGGAUGGAAGGAGCCCUAGUGUCUUUGCAGAUACAAGGGGUUAAGACAUUGCUAUCUACUUAGUGGCAUCUGACCACGUGGCAUA